Molecule: ribosomal RNA, 498 nt
Filed under: uncultured Streptococcus sp.
Lineage: Bacteria; Bacillati; Bacillota; Bacilli; Lactobacillales; Streptococcaceae
Description: partial 16S ribosomal RNA
Source: RNAcentral
CACGUAGUUAGCCGUCCCUUUCUGGUAAGAUACCGUCACAGUGUGAACUUUCCACUCUCACACUCGUUCUUCUCUUACAACAGAGCUUUACGAUCCGAAAACCUUCUUCACUCACGCGGCGUUGCUCGGUCAGACUUCCGUCCAUUGCCGAAGAUUCCCUACUGCUGCCUCCCGUAGGAGUCUGGGCCGUGUCUCAGCCCCAGUGUGGCCGAUCACCCUCUCAGGUCGGCUAUGUAUCGUCGCCUUGGUGAGCCGUUACCCCACCAACUAGCUAAUACAACGCAGGUCCAUCUGGUAGUGAUGCAAUUGCACCUUUUAAGCAAAUGUCAUGCAACAUCUACUGUUAUGCGGUAUUAGCUAUCGUUUCCAAUAGUUACUCCCCCGCUACCAGGCAGGUUACCUACGCGUUACUCACCCGUUCGCAACUCAUCCAGAGAAGCAAGCUCCUCCUUCAGCGUUCUACUUGCUAUGUAUUAGGCACCGCCGCCAGCGUCGUCC